This 196-nucleotide ribosomal RNA is filed under the name uncultured bacterium. RNAcentral describes it as "partial 16S ribosomal RNA". It matches the Rfam family "Bacterial small subunit ribosomal RNA", at positions 337 to 524 of the family's 1533-position model. The record is from RNAcentral.
UCCUACGGGAGGCAGCAGUAGGGAAUCUUCGGCAAUGGGGGCAACCCUGACCGAGCAACGCCGCGUGAGUGAAGAAGGUUUUCGGAUCGUAAAGCUCUGUUGUAAGAGAAGAACGUGUGUGAGAGUGGAAAGUUCACACAGUGACGGUAACUUACCAGAAAGGGACGGCUAACUACGUGCCAGCAGCCGCGGUAAU